GACGAACGCUGGCGGCGUGCCUAACACAUGCAAGUCGAGCGGGGUUGAAGCGAGGGGUAACUCGGACUUCUACCUAGCGGCGGACGGGUGAGUAACGCGUGGGCAACCUGCCUCAAGGUUUGGGAUAACAGCUCGAAAGGGCUGCUAAUACCGGAUAUGCCUGUGGCCUCGCAUGGGGCUAUGAGCAAAGGGGAAACCCGCCUUGAGAUGGGCCCGCGUCCCAUCAGCUAGUUGGUGAGGUGAAGGCUCACCAAGGCGACGACGGGUAGCCGGCCUGAGAGGGUGACCGGCCACACUGGGACUGAGACACGGCCCAGACUCCUACGGGGGGCAGCAGUGGGGGAUCUUGCACAAUGGGCGAAAGCCUGAUGCAGCGACGCCGCGUGAGCGAAGAAGGCCUGGUUGUAAGACUCUGUCUGGAGGGACGGAAACAAAUGACGGUACCUCCGGAGGAAGCCACGGCGUAACUACGUGCCAGCACGACCGCGGUAAACGUGUAGUCGU
This 504-nucleotide ribosomal RNA is filed under the name uncultured bacterium. RNAcentral's name for it is "bacterial SSU rRNA". It matches the Rfam family "Bacterial small subunit ribosomal RNA", at positions 28 to 535 of the family's 1533-position model. The record is from RNAcentral.